This 465-nucleotide ribosomal RNA is filed under the name uncultured bacterium. Its description in RNAcentral is "bacterial SSU rRNA". It matches the Rfam family "Bacterial small subunit ribosomal RNA", at positions 1 to 507 of the family's 1533-position model. The record is from RNAcentral.
CAGUAGUCACGUAGUUGACUCCGUGGCUACAGAACGAACGCUGGCGGCAUGCCUAACACAUGCAAGUCGAACGAGACCUUCGGGUCUAGUGGCGCACGGGUGCGUAACGCGUGGGAACCUGCCUUUAGGUUCGGAAUAACUCAGAGAAAUUUGAGCUAAUACCGGAUAAUGUCUUCGGACCAAAGAUUUAUCGCCUUUAGAUGGGCCCGCGUUGGAUUAGCUAGUUGGUGGGGUAAAGGCCUACCAAGGCGACGAUCCAUAGCUGGUCUGAGAGGAUGAUCAGCCACACUGGGACUGAGACACGGCCCAGACUCCUACGGGAGGCAGCAGUGGGGAAUAUUGGACAAUGGGCGAAAGCCUGAUCCAGCAAUGCCGCGUGAGUGAUGAAGGCCUUAGGGUUGUAAAGCUCUUUUACCCGAGAUGAUAAUGACAGUAUCGGGAGAAUAAGCUCCGGCUAACUCCGUG